Molecule: unclassified non-coding RNA, 200 nt
Filed under: soil metagenome
Description: partial contains internal transcribed spacer 2 and large subunit ribosomal RNA
Source: RNAcentral
AUUAUCAACCAUCAAGCCUGGCUUGUCGUUGGACUUUUUGGUCGUAACGACCGGUCCGAAAAAUAAUGGACGGGACCUGGCGACCCUAGAUGCAACGAGCUCUCUGCAGCACGCAUCAGAUGGGCGGUAGGCCCGGCUUUUAAACCCCUUAUUUUUCUCAGGUUGACCUCGGAUCAGGCAGGAAUACCCGCUGAACUUAA